AUUGAACGCUGGCGGCAGGCUUAACACAUGCAAGUCGAGCGGGGGAAGGUAGCUUGCUACCGGACCUAGCGGCGGACGGGUGAGUAAUGCUUAGGAAUCUGCCUAUUAGUGGGGGACAACAUCUCGAAAGGGAUGCUAAUACCGCAUACGUCCUACGGGAGAAAGCAGGGGAUCUUCGGACCUUGCGCUAAUAGAUGAGCCUAAGUCGGAUUAGCUAGUUGGUGGGGUAAAGGCCUACCAAGGCGACCAUCUGUAGCGGGUCUGAGAGGAUGAUCGGCCACACUGGGACGGAGACACGGCCCAGACUCCGACGGGAGGCAGCAGUGGGGAAUAUUGGACAAUGGGGGGAACCCUGAUCCAGCCAUGCCGCGUGUGUGAAGAAGGCCUUAUGGUCGUAAAGCACUUUAAGCGAGGAGGAGGCUACUCUAGUUAAUACCUAGGGAUAGUGGACGUUACUCGCAGAAUAAGCACCGGCUAACUCUGUGCCAGCAGCCGCCGCCG
This 501-nucleotide ribosomal RNA is filed under the name uncultured bacterium. Its description in RNAcentral is "partial 16S ribosomal RNA". It matches the Rfam family "Bacterial small subunit ribosomal RNA", at positions 30 to 523 of the family's 1533-position model. The record is from RNAcentral.